CCUGCGGAAGGAUCAUUAAUGAAUUCACUAUGGAGUUGUUGCUGGCCUCUAGGGGCAUGUGCACGCUUCACUAGUCUUUCAACCACCUGUGAACUUUUGAUAGAUCUGUGAAGUCGUCUUUCAAGUCGUCAGACUUGGUUUGCUGGGAUUUAAACGUCUCGGUGUGACAACGCAGUCUAUUUACUUAACACACCCCAAAUGUAUGUCUACGAAUGUCAUUUAAUGGGCCUUGUGCCUAUAAACCAUAAUACAACUUUCAACAACGGAUCUCUUGGCUCUCGCAUCGAUGAAGAACGCAGCGAAAUGCGAUAAGUAAUGUGAAUUGCAGAAUUCAGUGAAUCAUCGAAUCUUUGAACGCACCUUGCGCCCCUUGGUAUUCCGAGGGGCAUGCCUGUUUGAGUGUCAUUAAAUUCUCAAACUCACUUUGGUUUCUUUCCAAUUGUGAUGUUUGGAUUGUUGGGGGCUGCUGGCCUUGACAGGUCGGCUCCUCUUAAAUGCAUUAGCAGGACUUCUCAUUGCCUCUGCGCAUGAUGUGAUAAUUAUCACUCAUCAAUAGCACGCAUGAAUAGAGUCCAGCUCUCUAAUCGUCCGCAAGGACAAUUUGACAAUUUGACCUC
RNAcentral lists this ribosomal RNA (617 nucleotides) under Pleurotus ostreatus (oyster mushroom). RNAcentral describes it as "eukaryotic LSU rRNA". The stretch from base 252 to 405 matches the Rfam family "5.8S ribosomal RNA". RNAcentral also lists the same sequence under 1 other name. Lineage: Eukaryota; Fungi; Basidiomycota; Agaricomycetes; Agaricales; Pleurotaceae. The record is from RNAcentral.